Motacilla alba alba is the source of this 1226-nucleotide long non-coding RNA. RefSeq lists it as uncharacterized. Lineage: Eukaryota; Metazoa; Chordata; Aves; Passeriformes; Motacillidae. The transcript is spliced from 2 exons. The record is from RefSeq and is a predicted model, not a curated record.
AAAAGGCUUCCAGGUCCGUUUAGUCCUUUCUUGUUUAGAAAAUGAAACAAAAUGGAUUUGUAGUAGAACAUUUUUUUUAUAUAGGUGCUUUUAGGGAAUGUUUACCUAGAUGUCUCUUGACUCGAGUGCCAUCCUGAAGGACUGGUGGGGGACUGCCAGUACUGUACAGAACUCGUCAGGGUCCUCCCCUCACCACCCCUGUGCUUUUUGUACAUGUCCUACGAGUUUUUGACUUGCCAUAAGCAGUUCAGACAGCAGUUGGAUCCUACCAAGCUGAAAUGCAGAACUAGCCUUAAUGAGAAGUCCCAGGAUCUCUGUAGUCAGAAGGGCUCACUCGGAUGAAUAAGGGCUAAGGAAGGAAUGACUUACAGGAUCAGGCUUUGGUCAGCUCGUCCCUGCAUCACAUUCUGCUCCCUUUUGACUUUGCAUGAAGGACUGAUACCAGCUUCUCAAACUGUUCCAUCCUCAUCCUGCAGUUUCUUCUAGUCAUUUGAAAAUGUUGCCUUAUAAACCAUUGGAAUUAAUGUAAGACCAUUUCUUUUUUCAAUUCUUAACAGCUUAGUUACUGCCUUAAAAACAAAAAUCAAAAUCCUUUGAAGCUGCUGUGGAUUAGGAACAAAUGAUUUUGAGAGAAUAGCUGCAUUCUUAGCCCUUUACUCAAAGGGACCAGCAUUUUUAUUUAUAAAUACCAAAGAUGAAGAAGCUAAACAAUUUUGUGGUAAGUUGCUGUGAAAAACCAGCUCUCUAGUACUGUGCAUUGUGCAUUUUCAGUGCUGUGUUUGAAGUGGGACCCCUCAGGUGUGUCACUGGACUCCAAGGUGAAGUCUUCAACGGCACGAGGAGCAGUUGGGUACCUCAUUCCUGUUGUCUUCCAGCAAAAGUUGGAUGUCUUUGAAUCCAGUCCUGCUGGACACACCUUUGCAGUGGGAGGUUCUGUAUCCCAGCUGCUGUUGCUGGAUUUGUAGAAGUAAUUCCAAUCUGAAUUUCCAAUGGAUCUGAACACCUUAUGCUGCCAGUUCAUCUCUGUAUCAUGCCUAGCACAAAGCUGCACUAAGUGUUUCUUAUCACUGUGCCCUGACUCUGCCUUAACCUCUGAGAUGAAAAAGUGUUCUGUAAAUAUUCAAAAGCUGUUACAAAAUUGCACUGUACAAUUUGACAGGUGUAGUCAACUUUUUAUGGAGCGAUCUCAUUGUGUUGUGUAAAUAAAAUCCUCUUAGUAAACACAA